This 72-nucleotide transfer RNA is filed under the name Toxocara canis (dog roundworm). It matches the Rfam family "tRNA". From Rfam's summary of the family: Transfer RNA (tRNA) molecules are approximately 80 nucleotides in length. Their secondary structure includes four short double-helical elements and three loops (D, anti-codon, and T loops). Lineage: Eukaryota; Metazoa; Nematoda; Chromadorea; Rhabditida; Toxocaridae. The record is from Rfam by way of RNAcentral.
GUGGCAGUAUCUCAGUGGUAGAGCUCCCCCUUCGUGUGCGGGAAGAUCUGGGUUCGAUUCCCGGCUGCUUUC